GACGAACGCUGGCGGCGUGCUUAACACAUGCAAGUCGAACGGAAAGGCCCUGCUUUUGUGGGGUGCUCGAGUGGCGAACGGGUGAGUAACACGUGAGUAACCUGCCCUUGACUUUGGGAUAACUUCAGGAAACUGGGGCUAAUACCGGAUAGGAGCUCCUGCUGCAUGGUGGGGGUUGGAAAGUUUCGGCGGUUGGGGAUGGACUCGCGGCUUAUCAGCUUGUUGGUGGGGUAGUGGCUUACCAAGGCUUUGACGGGUAGCCGGCCUGAGAGGGUGACCGGCCACAUUGGGACUGAGAUACGGCCCAGACUAAUACGGGAGGCAGCAGUGGGGAAUAUUGCACAAUGGGAGGAAGCCUGAUGCAGCAACGCCGCGUGCGGGAUGACGGCCUUCGGGUUGUAAACCGCUUUCGCCUGUGACGAAGCGUGAGUGACGGUAAUGGGUAAAGAAGCACCGGCUAACUACGUG
Molecule: ribosomal RNA, 468 nt
Filed under: uncultured bacterium
Lineage: Bacteria
Description: partial 16S ribosomal RNA
Rfam family: Bacterial small subunit ribosomal RNA
Source: RNAcentral